Molecule: ribosomal RNA, 1482 nt
Filed under: uncultured bacterium
Lineage: Bacteria
Description: bacterial SSU rRNA
Rfam family: Bacterial small subunit ribosomal RNA
Source: RNAcentral
UAGUUUGAUCAUGGCUCAGGAUGAACGCUAGCGGCAGGCUUAACACAUGCAAGUCGAGGGGCAGCAUGGGAGUAGCAAUACUUCUGAUGGCGACCGGCGCACGGGUGCGUAACGCGUAUGCAACCUACCUGUAACAGGGGGAUAACACUGAGAAAUCGGUACUAAUACCGCAUAACACUGUGAGAGGCAUCUCUUGUGGUUGAAAGUUUCGGCGGUUACAGAUGGGCAUGCGUUGUAUUAGCUGGUUGGUAAGGUAACGGCUUACCAAGGCGACGAUACAUAGGGGGACUGAGAGGUUAACCCCCCACAUUGGUACUGAGACACGGACCAAACUCCUACGGGAGGCAGCAGUGAGGAAUAUUGGUCAAUGGACGGAAGUCUGAACCAGCCAUGCCGCGUGCAGGAAGACGGCUCUAUGAGUUGUAAACUGCUUUUGUACAAGGGUAAACCUGAAUACGUGUAUUCAGCUGAAAGUACUGUACGAAUAAGGAUCGGCUAACUCCGUGCCAGCAGCCGCGGUAAUACGGAGGAUCCAAGCGUUAUCCGGAUUUAUUGGGUUUAAAGGGUGCGUAGGCGGAUUGAUAAGUUAGAGGUGAAAUGUCCGAGCUCAACUCGGGAACUGCCUCUAAUACUGUUGAUCUAGAGAGUAGAUGCGGUAGGCGGAAUGUAUGGUGUAGCGGUGAAAUGCUUAGAGAUCAUACAGAACACCGAUUGCGAAGGCAGCUUACCAAUCUAUAUCUGACGUUGAGGCACGAAAGCGUGGGGAGCAAACAGGAUUAGAUACCCUGGUAGUCCACGCAGUAAACGAUGAUAGCUCGUUGUCGGCGAUACACAGUCGGUGACUAAGAGAAAUCGAUAAGCUAUCCACCUGGGGAGUACGUUCGCAAGAAUGAAACUCAAAGGAAUUGACGGGGGCCCGCACAAGCGGAGGAACAUGUGGUUUAAUUCGAUGAUACGCGAGGAACCUUACCCGGGCUUGAAAGUUAGUGACUGAUCUGGAAACAGGUCUUCCCUUCGGGGCACGAAACUAGGUGCUGCAUGGUUGUCGUCAGCUCGUGCCGUGAGGUGUCGGGUUAAGUCCCAUAACGAGCGCAACCCCUACUGAUAGUUGCCAUCAGGUCAAGCUGGGCACUCUAUCGGGACUGCCGGUGUAAGCCGGAGGAGGGUGGGGAUGACGUCAAAUCAGCACGGCCCUUACGUCCGGGGCGACACACGUGUUACAAUGGUAGGUACAGAGGGCCGCUACCCAGCGAUGGGGUGCAAAUCUCGAAAGCCUAUCUCAGUUCGGAUUGGAGGCUGAAACUCGCCUCCAUGAAGUUGGAUUCGCUAGUAAUCGCGCAUCAGCCAUGGCGCGGUGAAUACGUUCCCGGGCCUUGUACACACCGCCCGUCAAGCCAUGGGAGUUGGGGGUGCCUGAAGUUCGUGACCGCAAGGAGCGACCUAGGGCAAAACUAAUGACUGGGAAUAGAGUCGUAACAAGGU